RNAcentral lists this long non-coding RNA (765 nucleotides) under Salmo salar (Atlantic salmon). Its description in RNAcentral is "lncRNA (ENSSSAG00000109436.1)". The record is from RNAcentral. Lineage: Eukaryota; Metazoa; Chordata; Actinopteri; Salmoniformes; Salmonidae.
CUGGAGCAGUGGAACACCAAGGUCUGGAGCAGUGGAACACCAAGGUCUGGAGCAGUGGAACACCAAGGUCUGGAGCAGUGGAACACCAAUGUCUGGAGCAGUAGAACACCAAGGUCUGGAGCAGUAGAACACCAAGGUCUGGAGCAGUGGAACACCAAGGUCUGGAGCAGUAGAACACCUAGGUCUGGAGCAGUGGAACACCUAGGUCUGGAGCAGUGGAACACCAAGGUCUGGAGCAGUAGAACACCAAGGUCUGGAGCAGUGGAACACCAAGGUCUGGAGCAGUGGAACACCAAGGUCUGGAGCAGUAGAACACCUAGGUCUGGAGCAGUGGAACACCAAGGUCUGGAGCAGUGGAACACCAAGGUCUGGAGCAGUGGAACACCUAGGUCUGGAGCAGUGGAACACCAAGGUCUGGAGCAGUAGAACACCAAGGUCUGGAGCAGUGGAACACCAAGGUCUGGAGCAGUGGAACACCAAGGUCUGGAGCCGUGGAACACCAAGGUCUGGAGCAGUGGAACACCAAGGUCUGGAGCAGUAGAACACCUAGGUCUGGAGCAGUGGAACACCAAGGUCUGGAGCAGUGGAACACCAAGGUCUGGAGCAGUGGAACACCUAGGUCUGGAGCAGUGGAACACCAAGGUCUGGAGCAGUGGAACACCAAGGUCUGGAGCAGUAGAACACCUAGGUCUGGAGCAGUGGAACACCAAGGUCUGGAGCAGUAGAACACCUAGGUCUGGAGCUCGGGACAGAUAGACACUGCCA